AUUCUUGUUCUGAGACACAUUUCACAACCAAUGAGGUUUUUACCGACGGUGUGAUGUUGCUGAUUGCAAGCUUACUAGCGAUACUGUGACGCUGGAAACAGCAGAUCGAAUAUUUGACGCCCCUUGGGGG
RNAcentral lists this small nuclear RNA (130 nucleotides) under Phaeodactylum tricornutum CCAP 1055/1. RNAcentral describes it as "U4 spliceosomal RNA". It matches the Rfam family "U4 spliceosomal RNA". From Rfam's summary of the family: U4 small nuclear RNA (U4 snRNA) is a component of the major U2-dependent spliceosome. The structure of U4 snRNA from yeast and human has been reported. Lineage: Eukaryota; Bacillariophyta; Bacillariophyceae; Surirellales; Neidiaceae. The record is from Rfam by way of RNAcentral.